UCUGUAACUCCUCUUGCAGCGUCGGACCGAACAGGGUGCGGGCUCCCCGUGCGAGGGUCCUGUGCCGCUCGUCUGGGCGAGCAGCAAGGAGGGCGCCUGCUGGCGGGUGUGAUCCCUGUGGCGCCGCGGGUUUCGGACGUGGCUGUUUGGACCUGGGGAGCGAAGAGGUCCCCGAGCCUUUGGAGCAUGUUCUCCAGGUGCAAUUGGCCCCUCGUUUCCCUGUCACUUUUUGCAAGCCUCACCUUUUGCCUUUAUUUGAAAAAACAGCUUCCUGUUUGUGUUGCAUGAGCCGCACUGGCUCUUCCGACAUCUGCUUCUCUGCAAAAUAGUUUUCCUCUCCACCUCUCGUUUGAAGCUGGGUGGAAGUGUUUCUGGGUGUGAAAGAUGUUUUUCUUUCUCUUAUCCCACCAGGGCCACCUAAAACCUCCUCUUACGGUCUGUCAGGUGUUUGGAUGUGUUGUAAUGCUGUUGUGUCUUUGCAAACUUAGGACAAUUGCUUGUUCAAGUUGUUGACUUUUUUCUUUUUUUGGUGCUAAAACUAUAUAGUCUUGCUGACUAAGGUUUGUGAAGCUGCUGUAUUGCAGCUUUGUGACUUUGGAUCCCAAACGGUGUCUGCCUGCAAAUCCUGGGGCCAAACGCAUGAACGGAGCUGCGUGUCAGCAGAGCUCAGCCGUGCGCGUGCGUUUUUCGCCGCCGUGUGACACACAGUGGCUCUUGUGUCGCCUUGAACAAAAGCAGAAAGGAUUAAGAUGGAGUGAAUCAAGCUGGAAAGUUUACCUAGCAAACACAGAUAUGGAUGAAGUUUUGGCAGGUACUCAGCACUCACAGCAAACUUUGCAUGCCUUUCCGUGCAUCGGCGGAUCGUGUCCUCAGUCAGCGUCCUUGGGAAGCAAUAGCCUUGAGGCUGUUGUCCAGGAAAGGGUUUUUAGGUGGGACUGCGGCCACCUGGUGUGUGGAAGCUGGCUUGAUUUGCAAGCGCUGCAAAGGGAUCUGCUGCUUCCGCCGUUCAGUUUCCUGCAACAUCCUGUAGACUGGUCAGAUCUCCCUGCAAAGCCAACACAGGCAGAGCCACAAAGCCGUGUUCUGCCCGGAAAAUGCCUGGGCGAUUUUUGAAAUGCUGCUCCUGGUGACAGUAUGUGAGGAAAAGAUGACCUCUUCAAGUUUGUGCAGAAACUUUCCUUUUUCAUCUCAAAUCUAGCACCUGGCUCUUUUCUUUCGUGUUUAAAACUCCAGUGCUGCAAAUGCUUGUCCAUUCCCACUGUCUUUGGAUGAAGAACUGUAAUUAUCCAGUUUUUAUUAAAGUACAGAUAUGCUCCUUCAGAGGCUUUCCAUCAUGCAGUGCCAUAUGAAGGACGGAUGCCAGAGCUGUUCAUGUUGGUAACUGCUGGAGCGUGUUGAU
This 1399-nucleotide long non-coding RNA is filed under the name Apteryx owenii (little spotted kiwi). RNAcentral describes it as "lncRNA (ENSAOWG00000007189.1)". The record is from RNAcentral. Lineage: Eukaryota; Metazoa; Chordata; Aves; Apterygiformes; Apterygidae.